This 460-nucleotide ribosomal RNA is filed under the name uncultured bacterium. Its description in RNAcentral is "partial 16S ribosomal RNA". It matches the Rfam family "Bacterial small subunit ribosomal RNA", at positions 338 to 795 of the family's 1533-position model. The record is from RNAcentral.
CCUACGGGUGGCAGCAGUGAGGAAUAUUGGUCAAUGGACGAGAGUCUGAACCAGCCAAGUAGCGUUAAGGAUGACUGCCCUAUGGGUUGUAAACUUCUUUUAUAAAGGAAUAAAACGAGGCACGUGUGCCUUUUUGCAUGUACUUUAUGAAUAAGGAUCGGCUAACUCCGUGCCAGCAGCCGCGGUAAUACGGAGGAUCCGAGCGUUAUCCGGAUUUAUUGGGUUUAAAGGGAGCGUAGAUGGGUUGUUAAGUCAGUUGUGAAAGGUUGCGGCUCAACCGUAAAAUUGCAAUUGAUACUGGCAGUCUUGAGUACAGUUGAGGUAGGCGGAAUUCGUGGUGUAGCGGUGAAAUGCUUAGAUAUCACGAAGAACCCCGAUUGCGAAGGCAGCUUACUAAACUGUGACUGACAUUGAUGCUCGAAAGUGUGGGUAUCAAACAGGAUUAGAUACCCCGGUAGUC